UUUCCGUAGGCGAACCUGCGGAAGGAUCAUUAUUGUAUAACCGAGGUGCGAGGGCUGUCGCUGACCCGAAAGGUCGUGCACGCCCGAGUGCCCUCACACACAUCCAUCUCACCCCUAUGUGCACCACCGCGUGGGUCCCCCUUUGGCUUGUUCGGAGGGGGGCUUACGUUUUCACACAAACUUUGUAUGCAGUGUAGAAUGUAUUUUUUGUUUUUGCGAUCACGCAAUCAAUACAACUUUCAACAACGGAUCUCUUGGCUCUCGCAUCGAUGAAGAACACAGC
Molecule: unclassified non-coding RNA, 283 nt
Filed under: plant metagenome
Description: partial contains small subunit ribosomal RNA, internal transcribed spacer 1, and 5.8S ribosomal RNA
Rfam family: 5.8S ribosomal RNA (bases 235-283)
Source: RNAcentral